AACGAACGCUGGCGGCGUGCCUAACACAUGCAAGUCGAACGAGACCUUCGGGUCUAGUGGCGCACGGGUGCGUAACGCGUGGGAAUCUGCCCUUGGGUUCGGAAUAACAGUUAGAAAUGACUGCUAAUACCGGAUAAUGUCUUCGGACCAAAGAUUUAUCGCCCAGGGAUGAGCCCGCGUAGGAUUAGCUAGUUGGUGAGGUAAAGGCUCACCAAGGCGACGAUCCUUAGCUGGUCUGAGAGGAUGAUCAGCCACACUGGGACUGAGACACGGCCCAGACUCCUACGGGAGGCAGCAGUGGGGGAAUAUUGGACAAUGGGCGAAAGCCUGAUCCAGCAAUGCCGCGUGAGUGAUGAAGGCCUUAGGGUUGUUAAAAGGCUCUUUUACCUAGGGAUGAUAAUGACAGUACCUGGAGAAUAAAGCUCCGGCUAACUCCGUGCCAGCAGCCGCGGU
Molecule: ribosomal RNA, 453 nt
Filed under: uncultured bacterium
Lineage: Bacteria
Description: bacterial SSU rRNA
Rfam family: Bacterial small subunit ribosomal RNA
Source: RNAcentral